GUCUCCGUGGCUUAACGGCAUAGCGCUUCCUCCCAGUAACAACAUGCGUUCGAAGUUAUGGACGGGGUGUGGGUUCGAACCCUACCGGAGACA
This is a non-coding RNA of Mycena polygramma, 93 nucleotides long. The record is from the annotation of a GenBank genome assembly. Lineage: Eukaryota; Fungi; Basidiomycota; Agaricomycetes; Agaricales; Mycenaceae.